AUGAUUAUAAUUUAUUGUUAUUUAUUAGUUUGCAAAUCUAAGAAAUUUUCAUAUU
Molecule: transfer RNA, 55 nt
Filed under: Radopholus similis
Lineage: Eukaryota; Metazoa; Nematoda; Chromadorea; Rhabditida; Pratylenchidae
Description: transfer RNA-Cys
Source: RNAcentral